UACGUGAAACUGCUCAGAGGSAAACGGGUGGGCCCUCGAAAUCCUCUGGCGGGGAGAUUCAGGCAGGAGGGGCGGAGGUGCUCGCUGGUCGAUUCCUAACGGACCCUGUUCGGGGCCGGGCCGGCGGCACGGUCUCCGUCUCGCCUGACGCAUUUCCUCCCGCACUGUGGACGCCGCAGCCGGUCGGGUAGCUGCGUGAGUCGGCCAUGAGGACGGGCGCCGGCAGGUGGCCGGUGGCGUCGCCCUUCGGGGUCUUCGUCGCCGGUUGUUAGCCAGCUCGUCCGUGGCGCGACACCCGACCGAGGUUUGAAGGUUCCCGCGUGGGAACCCGCCGUCCCCUUCCUCUCGAGGGAGCGGGCGCCCUGGCAGGCGCAUCGCGGUGCCGCCGCGUCACUCUUUGUAGUGGCCGGCGCUCCGAGUUCGCUGUUGGUCGGGCGCGUCCCGCAGGGGUCGCAGGCGGCUGGCGGCGAGUAGGUCGGUCACCCACCCGACCCGUCUUGAAACACGGACCAAGGAGUCUAACAUGUGCGCGAGUCACGGGGUCUUGAUCAGGCCCAGAGGCGCAAUGAAAGUGAAGGCCGGCCUCCGUGCCGGCUGUGUUGGGAUUUCCCGUCCCUCGCGGCGGGGAAGCACCAACGACCCGUCCUAUCCGAUUUAUCGGUUGGGCGGAGUCUGAGCGUACACGUUGGGACCCGAAAGAUGGUGAACUAUGCCUGGGCAGGACGAAGCCAGAGGAAACUCUGGUGGAGGUCCGUAGCGGUUCUGACGUGCAAAUCGAUCGUCAGACCUAGGUAUAGGGGCGAAAGACCAAUCGAA
This 816-nucleotide ribosomal RNA is filed under the name Araneae sp. NZAC03011819. RNAcentral describes it as "eukaryotic LSU rRNA". The stretch from base 509 to 816 matches the Rfam family "Eukaryotic large subunit ribosomal RNA", at positions 665 to 939 of the family's 3401-position model. Lineage: Eukaryota; Metazoa; Arthropoda; Arachnida; Araneae. The record is from RNAcentral.